GCAUUCAGUUGCCAUCGGGUAAUGCCGGGCACUCUGGAAGGACUGCCAUCGACAAGAUGGAGGAAGUGGGGAUGACGUCAAGUCAUCAUGGCCCUUAUGUCCAGGGCGACACACGUGCUACAAUGGCCGGCACAACGGGAAGCGAGUUCGCGAGGACGAGCGGAUCCCUCAAAAGCCGGUCGCAGUUCGGAUUGAAGUCUGCAACUCGACUUCAUGAAGCUGGAAUCGCUAGUAAUCGUGGAUCAGCCAAGCCGCGGUGAAUACGUUCCCGGGCCUU
RNAcentral lists this ribosomal RNA (277 nucleotides) under uncultured Synergistaceae bacterium. RNAcentral's name for it is "partial 16S ribosomal RNA". It matches the Rfam family "Bacterial small subunit ribosomal RNA", at positions 1107 to 1382 of the family's 1533-position model. Lineage: Bacteria; Thermotogati; Synergistota; Synergistia; Synergistales; Synergistaceae. The record is from RNAcentral.